CCUACGGGUGGCAGCAGUGGGGAAUAUUGGUCAAUGGGCGCAAGCCUGACCCAGCAACGCCGCGUGCAGGAAGAAGGCUUUCUGGUUGUAAACUUCUUUUCUGAGGGACGAAGACCGUGACGGUACCUCAUGCCUACGCCACUGCUAACUACGUGCCAGCAGCCGCUGUAAUACGUAGGUGGCAAGCGUUCUCCGGAUUUAUGGGGUGUAAAGGGCGUGUAGGCGGGAAAGCAAGUCAGAUGUGAAAACUCAGGGCUCAACCCUGAGCCUGCAUUUGAAACUGUUUUUCUUGAGUGCUGGAGAGGCAAUCGGAAUGCAGGGUGUAGCGGUGAAAUGCGUAGAGAUACGGAGGAACACCAGUGGCGAAGGCGGAUUGCUGGACAGUAACUGACGCUGAGGCGCGAAAGCGUGGGGAGCAAACAGGAUUAGAUACCCGUGUAGUC
Molecule: ribosomal RNA, 443 nt
Filed under: uncultured bacterium
Lineage: Bacteria
Description: partial 16S ribosomal RNA
Rfam family: Bacterial small subunit ribosomal RNA
Source: RNAcentral